Long non-coding RNA from Cyprinus carpio carpio, 1649 nucleotides. Lineage: Eukaryota; Metazoa; Chordata; Actinopteri; Cypriniformes; Cyprinidae. The record is from Ensembl.
UUUAUACGGAGAAUAGCGGUCUGGCGUGACUGUCAUGAUGUGUCGGAGGAGGAGUCUGGCCAAGAACACUCAAAAUUAUCGGGCAGUUCCUCCUUUAAUGCAUCACCCAUGCGACAGACAUUCACUCCUGUGAACGCAAGUCCUCCAAAGUACACAACCCCUGAAAAGGUUGUGAGGUUAUCCUUUCCAGAAUAUGUAUUGCACACCGACACAGAACUUGAGCAAGUCUGACAACAAUACUUUGAGUUGUCGAAGAGAGGCGAACAGCGCAACUGCCAGAUGUCAAAGGAGCUCAGAUGCCGGCUCAUUCGAAACACCAUGACCAGUAUGAUUGCAAUCCUGAGGGCAAAGGGGGAUAGAGAAUCACACAGAUACCCAUCAAAGCCAGAAAUUACUGCAAUGGCAUAGAGAAUAAUACUGUACUACCCCAUGCUACAGGACCAAGGCCUCCAUACAUGGAGGCGCUGUCUUGAGCAGCCAACAGACACGGAUGAAAUGGAUUCAAGUGACUCAACAAACAUUCUAGAUCGGUCCACAGAAGGAAGUGGCAGCCCAGGCUCAGACUGUAAAGAAAGUGAGUUAGAAGAAAUAUGUCAUGUGUUGAAGGAAAAAGAAAAUCCCAAAGCCUACCUGAAGAAGCACCUUCUGCCCUGUCCAGUCCUGAUAUUAACAAGUCUGCAGAUGUUGACAGUCCAGACACCAGUCAAGCAACCUUGGCCAAGCACUACAAGGCCCUACAAACUUUGUAUAAAAGAAAAAAUCCAAACCACACUGAUGUUUCUCAUCUCUUGGAUUUAGAAUUUGUAGCCAGAAGAGCAUUCAUUGAUUCAAAUACCGUUCGCGAGGAGGACAGACAUGAGAAGGUUCUAGAAGCAUAUCCUUGUUUCAAGGACAUUGUACACGUAAGUCAUUAUUAACUGUGCAUGAUUAAAACCAUGUUAUCACACACAAUGUUUCAAAUACCAAUUUCCUCUUAAAUGAUAUUCAGAUGUCUGUAUUGGUAUAUUUGAUAUUUCAUAGGAGCUUCAACGCAUUUUGGAUAUUGAUAAUAUCAACUUCAUCGAUGAACUGAAGGGAAGAUUUAGUUUUUUGGUGUAUGGAAAAAGGCGCUGAAACCCCCAAUGUGCAUGGACAAAGGUAGGGAAUGGUGUUUUGGUGUUAUUAGUGAAUAGGGUUUAGGGUGGACCUUCAGGCAUGUUAAUUGUCAAGUAGAGCUAGUGUUUUGUCAUCCUUCUUUUUCAUCUAUGAUGGCUAUCCCAUUAUUUGCUGGAUUUUUUUUUUUUUUUUUUUAAAGCAUUGUGUCUGUUGUAUACCUUUUGAUCAGAUUUGACCUUGUGCACUUUGUCCAAGUGCUUAAGUAAUGAAUCUUUUCCUGUACAGCUGAACAGGCACUUGAGAUUAUACGUGUGCUGCCAUCACUGUUCCCCUCCACAUCUGCUCCUCCAAAGAGGCUACGAGAUCCGAGUGAGGCUCUGGUGCAUGUCCUCGAGGAAACAGAAGACCCCAAUUCCUACUUAAAGAAAUGCCCUCUCUCCUGCCCAGUCCUGAUCAUCCGUCCGUCCAACUGCCUCCUAGCAGUAGGAGAUGUGGCAAUAACCACCUUUCCAAAAGACAAGCUUACUGAGAGUGCUUUAUACCUUAUGGCCUAC